AGGUGAGCCUCGGAUCCAGGUAGGGAAUCCCGUA
RNAcentral lists this ribosomal RNA (34 nucleotides) under Ascomycota sp. MA5331. Its description in RNAcentral is "partial 28S ribosomal RNA". The record is from RNAcentral. Lineage: Eukaryota; Fungi; Ascomycota.